UUUUCUUUUUAUGGCCACACCUGAGGCAUAUGGAAGUUCCCGGGAUAGGAAUCAAAUUGGAGCUAUAGCUGCAGGUCUAUGCCAUAGCCACACCGGAUCCGAGCUGCAUCUAUGACCUACACUGCAGCUCGUGGCAACACUGGAUACAUAACCCACUGAGCGAGGCCAGGGAUCAAACCUGCAUCCUCACAGACACUAUAUUGGGUUCUUAACCCACUGAGCCACAGCAGGAACUCCUAAAAAUUUUUUUUAAUUGAUGUAUAGUUUGAUUUACAGUGCUUUCAUUUCUGGUGUACAGCAAAGUGAUUCAGUUUAUGUAUAUAUAAUACAUAUACACUUUUCCAUAUUCUUUUUCACUAUAUUUUAUUACGGGACAUUGAAUAUAGUUCCCUGUGCUAUAUAGUAGGACUUUGUUAUUUAUCUGUUUUAAAUAUAGUAGUUUGUAUCUGUUAAUUCCAAACUCCUAAUUUAUCUCUCCCCUACCCACCUUUCCCCUUUGGUAACCAUAUACUUGUUUUCUAUGUCUAUGAGUUUAUUUCUGUUUUGUAAAUAAGUUCAUUUAUAUCAUAUUUUAGAUUCCACAUAUAAGUGAUAUUGUGUGGUAUUUGUCUUUCUCUUUCUGACUUCACUUAGUAUCAUACUAAGUCAUAAUCUCUAGGUCCAUCCAUGAUGCAGCAAAUGGGUUUUUUUAAAUCUUUUUUGUGGCUGAGUACUAUUCCAUUUUGUGUGUAUACCAUAUCUUUUUUUUUUUUUUUUUUUUUUUUGGCCACACUCAUGGCAUAUGGAAGUUCCCAGGCUAGAGGUUGAAUCUGAGCUAUAGCCUCCAACCUACAUCACAGCCACAGCAAUGUGGGAUCUGAGCUGUGUCUGCGACCCACACCACAGCUCAUGGCAAUGCUGGAUCCCUAACCUACUUAACAAGGCCAGGAAUCGAACCCUCACCCCUCAUGGAUACUAGUCAGGUUCAUUAACUAUUGAGCCAUGAGAGGAACUCAUAUAUACCACAUCCUCUUAAUCCAUUCAUCGGUCAAUGGACAUUUAGGUUGCUUCCAUGUCUUGGCUAUUAUAACUAGUGCUGCUGUGAACAUAGGGAGUGCCUAUCUUUUUGAAUCAUGGUUUUCUCCAGGUGUAUGCCCGAAAGUGGGGUUGCUGCAUCAUUGAGCAACUCCCUUUUUAGUUUUUAAGGAAUCUCUAUACCAUUUUCCAUCCUGGCAGCAUCCGUUUACACUCCCACCACCAAUGUAGGUGGGCUCCAAAGGAAUAAACUCUUGAUACAUACAAAACUGGAAUGACUCUCAAAGGCACUGCGCUGAGUAAAAGCAGCCAGUCCUAAGUGGUCACAGAGAAUCUCAUUUCUCGUACAUAACUUUCUUAAAAUGACAGUUAUAGAGACGGAGAACAUUUCUUAAUAGUUUUCAGGAGUUAGGGGUGUGGGAUCUGGUACUAUAGUUUUACAAGAUGUUACCACUGGAGAAAACUAAAGGGUUUAUUGCAUCUCUUAACACUGUAUGUGAAUCCCCAACUACCUAAAAAUAAAAAUAUCAAUGC
This 1548-nucleotide long non-coding RNA is filed under the name Sus scrofa (pig). RNAcentral describes it as "lncRNA (ENSSSCG00040040536.1)". The record is from RNAcentral. Lineage: Eukaryota; Metazoa; Chordata; Mammalia; Artiodactyla; Suidae.